This 505-nucleotide ribosomal RNA is filed under the name Sympetrum flaveolum. RNAcentral describes it as "partial 16S rRNA". It matches the Rfam family "Archaeal large subunit ribosomal RNA", at positions 1911 to 2666 of the family's 2987-position model. The record is from RNAcentral. Lineage: Eukaryota; Metazoa; Arthropoda; Insecta; Odonata; Libellulidae.
GGCCUUUUGAAUUUAAUUUAAGGUCUGACCUGCCCAGUGAUUUAUUUAACGGCCGCGGUAAAUUGACCGUGCAAAGGUAGCAUAAUCAUUAGUCUUUUAAUAGAGGGCUGGAAUGAACGGUUUAACGAGGAACUGACUGUCUCAUUUUAUUUGUUUUAAAAUUUAAUUUUUUAGUUAAAAAGCUAAAAUAUUAUUGGAAGACGAGAAGACCCUAUAGAUCUUUAUAUAAUUUUCUAUAUUUAUUUAUAUAUUAACAUAACUAUAUUAAAAUUUUAUUUUGUUGGGGUGACAAAAAUAUAUAUUUAACUUUUUGAUUUAUUUAACAUUGAUUUAUGAUUAUUAGAUCCAUUAUUAGUGAUUGUUAGUGUAAGUUACCUUAGGGAUAACAGCGUAAUCUUCCUCCAGAGUUCAUAUUUACAGGGAGGCUUGCGACCUCGAUGUUGGAUUAAGAUAAUAAUUAGGUGUAGCCGCUUAAUUUAUAGGUCUGUUCGACCUUUAAACUCUU